This 351-nucleotide ribosomal RNA is filed under the name Streptococcus agalactiae str. Gottschalk 999B. RNAcentral describes it as "bacterial SSU rRNA". It matches the Rfam family "Bacterial small subunit ribosomal RNA", at positions 1 to 342 of the family's 1533-position model. Lineage: Bacteria; Bacillati; Bacillota; Bacilli; Lactobacillales; Streptococcaceae. The record is from RNAcentral.
UUUAAUGAGAGUUUGAUCCUGGCUCAGGACGAACGCUGGCGGCGUGCCUAAUACAUGCAAGUAGAACGCUGAUGUUUGGUGUUUACACUAGACUGAUGAGUUGCGAACGGGUGAGUAACGCGUAGGUAACCUGCCUCAUAGCGGGGGAUAACUAUUGGAAACGAUAGCUAAUACCGCAUAAGAGUAAUUAACACAUGUUAGUUAUUUAAAAGGAGCAAUUGCUUCACUGUGAGAUGGACCUGCGUUGUAUUAGCUAGUUGGUGAGGUAAAGGCUCACCAAGGCGACGAUACAUAGCCGACCUGAGAGGGUGAUCGGCCACACUGGGACUGAGACACGGCCCAGACUCCUAC